This is a long non-coding RNA of Wasmannia auropunctata (little fire ant), 254 nucleotides long. RefSeq lists it as uncharacterized. The record is from RefSeq and is a predicted model, not a curated record. NCBI's taxonomy places the organism in Eukaryota, Metazoa, Arthropoda, Insecta, Hymenoptera, Formicidae. The transcript is spliced from 3 exons.
GUUUUAGAAGCAACUAAAGAACAAAGAAAAUCAAGGUGUAAAAAAAUAUGGAGUGAUGAUGAAGAAUCAGACGAUGAAAGUCAGAAAAAAAAGAAAUCUAAAAAAAUGAUAUAAAAGGAAUGAACGCUAAAAGCAAAUCUUCAGAAUUAUGGAAAGAAUUGAAAACAAUGGAAAAUUCAUUUGCAGUAAAUUCUGAACAAUCUUCAGAUGAUGAUAGCUCUUCAAAAAUGUCGCAACAUUUAAUACAAGAGAAC